This 250-nucleotide ribosomal RNA is filed under the name uncultured bacterium. RNAcentral describes it as "partial 16S ribosomal RNA". It matches the Rfam family "Bacterial small subunit ribosomal RNA", at positions 524 to 773 of the family's 1533-position model. The record is from RNAcentral.
GACAGAGGGUGCAAACGUUGUUCGGAAUUACUGGGCGUAAAGCGCAUGUAGGCGGCCAAGCAGGUCGGAUGUGAAAUCCCUCGGCUCAACCAAGGAAGUGCAUUCGAAACCGCAUGGCUCGAGUCCCGGAGAGGAAGGUGGAAUUCUCGGUGUAGAGGUGAAAUUCGUAGAUAUCGAGAGGAACACCGGUGGCGAAAGCGGCCUUCUGGACGAGGACUGACGCUGAGAUGCGAAAGCGUGGGGAGCAAAC